GACGAACGCUGGCGGCGUGCUUAACACAUGCAAGUCGAACGAAGAGCGAUGGAAGCUUGCUUCUAUCAAUCUUAGUGGCGAACGGGUGAGUAACGCGUAAUCAACCUGCCCUUCAGAGGGGGACAACAGUUGGAAACGACUGCUAAUACCGCAUACGAUCUAAUCUCGGCAUCGAGGAUAGAUGAAAGGUGGCCUCUACAUGUAAGCUAUCACUGAAGGAGGGGAUUGCGUCUGAUUAGCUAGUUGGAGGGGUAACGGCCCACCAAGGCGAUGAUCAGUAGCCGGUCUGAGAGGAUGAACGGCCACAUUGGGACUGAGACACGGCCCAGACUCCUACGGGAGGCAGCAGUGGGGAAUCUUCCGCAAUGGACGAAAGUCUGACGGAGCAACGCCGCGUGAGUGAUGACGGCCUUCGGGUUGUAAAGCUCUGUUAAUCGGGACGAAAGGCCUUCUUGCGAAUAGUGAGAAGGAUUGACGGUACCGGAAUAGAAAGCCACGGCUAACUACGUGCCAGCAGCCGCGGUAAUACGUAGGUGGCAAGCGUUGUCCGGAAUUAUUGGGCG
RNAcentral lists this ribosomal RNA (563 nucleotides) under uncultured Veillonella sp. RNAcentral describes it as "bacterial SSU rRNA". It matches the Rfam family "Bacterial small subunit ribosomal RNA", at positions 28 to 560 of the family's 1533-position model. Lineage: Bacteria; Bacillati; Bacillota; Negativicutes; Veillonellales; Veillonellaceae. The record is from RNAcentral.